RNAcentral lists this ribosomal RNA (875 nucleotides) under uncultured bacterium. Its description in RNAcentral is "bacterial SSU rRNA". It matches the Rfam family "Bacterial small subunit ribosomal RNA", at positions 8 to 916 of the family's 1533-position model. The record is from RNAcentral.
AGAGUUUGAUCAUGGCUCAGAAUCAACGCUGGCGGCGCGCUUAACACAUGCAAGUCGAACGAGAAAGUGGAGCAAUCCAUGAGUACAGUGGCGUACGGGUGAGUAACACGUGGGUAAUCUAACUCUUAGUGUGGAAUAACCCUGGGAAACCGGGGCUAAUACCGCAUAAGCCCGAGAGGGGAAAGUCGCAAGACGCUGAGAGAGGAGCCCGCGGCCGAUUAGCUAGUUGGCAGGGUAAAAGCCUACCAAGGCAAAGAUCGGUAGCCGGCCUGAGAGGGCACACGGCCACACUGGCACUGAAACACGGGCCAGACUCCUACGGGAGGCAGCAGUGGGGAAUCUUGCACAAUGGGGGCAACCCUGAUGCAGCGACGCCGCGUGAGCGAUGAAGCCCUUCGGGGCGUAAAGCUCUUUCGGCAGGGACGAUAAUGACGGUACCUGCAGAAGCAGCUGCGGCUAACUACGUGCCAGCAGCCGCGGUAAUACGUAGGCAGCGAGCGUUGUUCGGAGUUACUGGGCGUAAAGGGUGUGUAGGCGGUCGUUUAAGUUUGGUGUGAAAUCUCCCGGCUCAACUGGGAGGGUGCGCCGAAUACUGAGCGGCUAGAGUGCGGGAGAGGAGAGUGGAAUUCCUGGUGUAGCGGUGAAAUGCGUAGAUAUCAGGAGGAACACCGGCGGUGUAAACGGCUCUCUGGACCGCAACUGACGCUGAGACACGAAAGCGUGGGUAGCAAACAGGAUUAGAUACCCUGGUAGUCCACGCCCUAAACGAUGCAUAUUUGGUGUGGGCAGUUCAUUCUGUCCGUGCCGGAGCUAACGCGUUAAAUAUGCCGCCUGGGGAGUACAGUCGCAAGGCUGAAACUCAAAUGAAUUGACGG